RNAcentral lists this ribosomal RNA (468 nucleotides) under uncultured bacterium. RNAcentral's name for it is "partial 16S ribosomal RNA". It matches the Rfam family "Bacterial small subunit ribosomal RNA", at positions 28 to 507 of the family's 1533-position model. The record is from RNAcentral.
GACGAACGCUGGCGGCGUGCUUAACACAUGCAAGUCGAACGGAAAGGCCCUGCUUUUGUGGGGUGCUCGAGUGGCGAACGGGUGAGUAACACGUGAGUAACCUGCCCUUGACUUUGGGAUAACUUCAGGAAACUGGGGCUAAUACCGGAUAGGAGCUCCUGCUGCAUGGUGGGGGUUGGAAAGUUUCGGCGGUUGGGGAUGGACUCGCGGCUUAUCAGCUUGUUGGUGGGGUAGUGGCUUACCAAGGCUUUGACGGGUAGCCGGCCUGAGAGGGUGACCGGCCACAUUGGGACUGAGAUACGGCCCAGACUCCUACGUGAGGCAGCAGUGGGGAGUCUUGCACAAUGGGCGGAAGCCUGAUACGGCAACGCCGCGUGCGGGAUGACGGCCUUCGGGUUGUAAACCGCUUUCGCCUGUGACGAAGCGUGAGUGACGGUAAUGGGUAAAGAAGCACCGGCUAACUACGUG